CUGGCUUUGCUACUUCCUGUUCUGCUAUUCAAUAAAUAUUUAUUCAGUGCCUAUUUUAUCCAAAUCACUUGAUUAGGUACUGCAUGACUUUGGGGAAAUGCGGGAAUUCUGCCAGAGGCUAAGGGCAAACACAAAGCUUGUUACCUGUUCUGGAAUAUAAGAAAGGCUCUCAUUCGAAUUCCUGAAUCAAACCCAGAAUGGAAAAAUGAGGGCAGGAACCCGUGAUCUCCCCACAGGGGUUUUCAGUGUUGGAAACAAGGUUGUCUGGGGUCACAACUGAAUCACAGCCCUCUGAGACUUAGCACAGCAACAAUACUCGUUCUAAACCCCACCGGGGGAGAGGGAAAGGCAGUUGGUAUAACCAUAUGCCUCCCUUUCAUGGGCUCCUGCAGAAUAUCUCCAGGCUUUCCAAAGCUGGUCUACCAGACACCUGCAGGCACUCCCAUCCCACGAAGCUGUUGGUUUUAAGAAACCAAUAUACAUCUCUCACUAUUAAGAUCUACCAAGAAGACAGAAAUGUGAGUACAUCAGGGCAGUUGGCACAUCACAGCUGUCAGUAAAGGGAGGCUGCUGGCUGUGAAGAUGGCUCAUGUUGUCCUGAAUGAAGUUGAAAUGGGAGAUUUUUCUGUGCCUUUCCCGUCCUCCACAAUCCUGUGCCCCAUUGCUAUUUCUUCAGAGGGUUCCUACAACAUUACGAGACACUCUGGGACUUGUAGACAUUCUGACUAGAGCGUCAUUGACUCAUAGAACUCAGGGAAGCUUUAGAAAUCAUCCGGACUAGGGGGCUGGCAUCGUGGCAUAGGAAGUAAGGCUACCACCUGCAAUGCCAGCAUCCCAUAGGGAUGCUGAUUCAGGUCCGGACGACUGCAUUUCCGAUCCAGUUCCCUGCUGAAAGUCUGGGAAUAGCAGUGGAAGAUGGGCCCCUGCCACCCACAGGGAUGCAGCUCCUGGCUCCUGGCUCCUGGCUUUGACCAGGCCCAGCCCGGAUCAUUGUAGCUAUCUGGGGAGUGAACCAGUGCAGGGACUAUACCCCUGCUUCCCUUUCCUCCUUCUGACUCUGUAACUCUUGAUUUUCAAAUUAAGUAAGCAAGUCUUCGAAAAGAGAAGUCAUCCAGACUGACUCUCCAUGCUGUAGACGAUGCAGAGACAUAGAAGACCGAACACAAUCCUUUAACAAUGCAUCCAAUGUCAUACACUUACUGACAAGCAUGACACUAGCUUUCUGGUCCCCAG
Molecule: long non-coding RNA, 1233 nt
Filed under: Oryctolagus cuniculus (rabbit)
Lineage: Eukaryota; Metazoa; Chordata; Mammalia; Lagomorpha; Leporidae
Description: lncRNA (ENSOCUG00000033007.1)
Source: RNAcentral